GACGAACGCUGGCGGCGUGCUUAACACAUGCAAGUCGAACGGAAAGGCCCUGCUUUUGUGGGGUGCUCGAGUGGCGAACGGGUGAGUAACACGUGAGUAACCUGCCCUUGACUUUGGGAUGACUUCAGGAAACUGGGGCUAAUACCGGAUAGGAGCUCCUGCUGCAUGGUGGGGGUUGGAAAGUUUCGGCGGUUGGGGAUGGACUCGCGGCUUAUCAGCUUGUUGGUGGGGUAGUGGCUUACCAAGGCUUUGACGGGUAGCCGGCCUGAGAGGGUGACCGGCGACAUUGGGACUGAGAUACGGCCCAGACUCCUACGGGAGGCAGCAGUGGGGAAUAUUGCACAAUGGGCGGAAGCCUGAUGCAGCAACGCCGCGUGCGGGAUGACGGCCUUCGGGUUGUAAACCGCUUUCGCCUGUGACGAAGCGUGAGUGACGGUAAUGGGUAAAGAAGCACCGGCUAACUACGUG
RNAcentral lists this ribosomal RNA (468 nucleotides) under uncultured bacterium. RNAcentral's name for it is "partial 16S ribosomal RNA". It matches the Rfam family "Bacterial small subunit ribosomal RNA", at positions 28 to 507 of the family's 1533-position model. The record is from RNAcentral.